Molecule: transfer RNA, 76 nt
Filed under: Minisyncoccota bacterium
Lineage: Bacteria; Bacillati; Minisyncoccota
Description: tRNA-Ile
Rfam family: tRNA
About the family: Transfer RNA (tRNA) molecules are approximately 80 nucleotides in length. Their secondary structure includes four short double-helical elements and three loops (D, anti-codon, and T loops).
Source: RNAcentral
GCGCGUAUAGCUCAGUUGGUAGAGCACAUCACUGAUACUGAUGGGGUCCUAGGUUCAAAUCCUAGUACGCGCACCA